GCCCCCGUGGCGCAAUCGGUAGCGCGCACGACUCUUAGAGUUUGCUUGAACCGAUUAUGGGCCAUCAUUUAUCGUGCGGUUGCGGGUUCGAGCCCCGCCGGAGGCU
Molecule: transfer RNA, 106 nt
Filed under: Cryptococcus amylolentus CBS 6039
Lineage: Eukaryota; Fungi; Basidiomycota; Tremellomycetes; Tremellales; Cryptococcaceae
Also listed under: 1 other name
Rfam family: tRNA
About the family: Transfer RNA (tRNA) molecules are approximately 80 nucleotides in length.
Source: Rfam by way of RNAcentral